Ictidomys tridecemlineatus (thirteen-lined ground squirrel) is the source of this 694-nucleotide non-coding RNA. The record is from RefSeq and is a predicted model, not a curated record. Lineage: Eukaryota; Metazoa; Chordata; Mammalia; Rodentia; Sciuridae.
CUUGUAACCUGUGUACUCCAGAGGGGAACAGCAGCCCCUGACUCCCCACAGACCAUCCAGCACCACAUCAAACAGAUCACAAUAUCUCAGACCUGCCAUACCCUACACACUCUGAAAUAUUCAUGAGGAACCCACAUGAAUUUGUUAGUGCUGGAUACAAAGAGCUUCCCUUCAGGAGGGCACACGAGACUAUACACCCUAACAAGGAGUAACUUGGAAGCUAAGCCACAGACAAUUAGGGACCAUCUGCUCUGAUCCAACAAAAAGCCAGUAAUACUUGGACACACCAAAGACUAGCAAGGGGCCUUUGAAUUGGAUCAGAAGAAAAAUGGUGUGAUGACUACCACCACAGCCAGAAAAACUUAAAGAUCUUACCUGGAAAAGGGGAAUUCAUUGUGCAAAGACAAAGACUAGAACAUUACCAACGUUGGAUUACUUCUAACACACAAGCCUUAUUGGGAAGCAUUCUCCAAUUUGCUUAUAUCAAAUCCAAACAAAAGCAGAUCCUCACAACUACAGGGAUCAUGGUAGAGCCAGGUGCUUUGAAAUGAUGAGACUGAUUGUGUCUUGGUGAAGAGGAAAAGCUCCCUGUGCAGCCAUGCUCCUGGUUUUUAUCCAGUAUAUUCACACUGACGACAUCCAAGAAGAAUUCCCACCUUUUGAAAAUUCUAAAGGCUGCCAGGACAUUUGAAAU